GGCCUGUUAGUCUAGUGGUUAGGACAGUAGGUUUUCAACCUACCGACAGGAGUUCAAUUCUCCUACAGGCUACCA
This 75-nucleotide transfer RNA is filed under the name Actinomycetota bacterium. Its description in RNAcentral is "tRNA-Glu". It matches the Rfam family "tRNA". From Rfam's summary of the family: Transfer RNA (tRNA) molecules are approximately 80 nucleotides in length. Their secondary structure includes four short double-helical elements and three loops (D, anti-codon, and T loops). Lineage: Bacteria; Bacillati; Actinomycetota. The record is from RNAcentral. RNAcentral also lists the same sequence under 3 other names.